GGUCUGUUAGUUUAAUGGUAAAACACCAGGCUGUCUACUUGGUGUCACGGGUUCGAUUCCCGUACAGGCUA
RNAcentral lists this transfer RNA (71 nucleotides) under Saprospiraceae bacterium. RNAcentral describes it as "tRNA-Asp". It matches the Rfam family "tRNA". From Rfam's summary of the family: Transfer RNA (tRNA) molecules are approximately 80 nucleotides in length. The record is from RNAcentral. Lineage: Bacteria; Pseudomonadati; Bacteroidota; Saprospiria; Saprospirales; Saprospiraceae.